AUCCCUUAGGCUGGAAAAGCAAAGCCCUCCGAGACCACCGAGACGCACCGCUAACCCACCGGUAGCAAGAGGUACAAAUGUGUAUGACCACCUUCUUCCUUUUCGGAAUAACCUGGUCUGUGGGCAACACAGGACUGAGGCACUGAGAGCAGAUGCUCAAGGGGAUUUCUCUUGCUGCAGUGCUAGCUGUAAUUCCUGACUUUGCAAACCCAGAGGGCUGCGUGAGUUCACAAC
Long non-coding RNA from Lepidothrix coronata (blue-crowned manakin), 234 nucleotides. RefSeq lists it as uncharacterized. The record is from RefSeq and is a predicted model, not a curated record. The transcript has 3 exons. NCBI's taxonomy places the organism in Eukaryota, Metazoa, Chordata, Aves, Passeriformes, Pipridae.